RNAcentral lists this small RNA (126 nucleotides) under Bordetella bronchiseptica 00-P-2730. RNAcentral's name for it is "sRNA P9". The stretch from base 51 to 126 matches the Rfam family "Pseudomonas sRNA P9". Rfam says of the family: P9 appears to be conserved in several Pseudomonas species in addition to Bordetella spp. In both Pseudomonas and Bordetella spp P9 appears to be located upstream of a predicted threonine dehydratase gene. Lineage: Bacteria; Pseudomonadati; Pseudomonadota; Betaproteobacteria; Burkholderiales; Alcaligenaceae. The record is from RNAcentral. RNAcentral also lists the same sequence under 19 other names.
AGGGAAUAACGUUGUCGCUUAUGGAUCCGCGUGCGACUUCCCCCGGCCAGAGCAUUAUUACCGCCAUUCCAGCAGUGGCGGGUUAGCCUACGAAUUCCCAGAAAACCCGCCCUCGAGGCGGGUUUU